CAACUCUCUCUCUCCCCGGCCGCAGGCAGGCCGAUGGAGCAACCGCAAGCAGAUCCGGUGGCGUCGGAAGCUGUCGCCGGCGCCGGCGACGACGCGGACGCGUACCGCAUCCGGCCGCUCGAGCUCGGGGACAUCUCCAAGGGCUUCUGCGACCUCCUCGCGCAGCUCUCCCCCUCCGCGCCGCUCACCGAGGACGCCUACCGCACCCGCUUCGCGGAGCUCGCGCGCCUCGGCGCCGACCACCUCGUCCUCGUUGCGGAGCACGCCGCCACGGGCCGCCUCGCCGCGGCGGGGGCGGUGCUCGUGGAGCGCAAGUUCAUCCGCCGCUGCGGCACCGUGGGCCACGUCGAGGACGUGGUGGUGGACGCCGCCGCGCGCGGCCGGGGCCUCGGCGAGCGAGUCGUGCGCCGCCUCGUGGAGCACGCCAGGGGGAGGGGGUGCUACAAGGCCAUACUGAACUGCGCCCCGGAGCUCAAGGGGUUCUACGCCAAGGUCGGGUUCCAGGAGAAGAACGUCCAGAUGGGGCUCUACUUCUGAUCUAGCUAUGCUAUGCUGGCGAUCUUUUUGAAGAAGGUGGCCAUAUCUUGUUAGAGCAGGUCAGAACAAGGAUGAUGAUUCCCGUGUUGCUUUAUGUUGUACUAGUCGCCGGUGAGUAUUCAAAACUCAGAAGAGGCAGGUCGAAAGGAAGUCCUGAUGAUAGAUGGAUAUUCUACAGUUGACUUGCAUUAUACCUGUUAGUAGUGGGAAGGGAAAGUUGACAACAGUCCUAGGAAGGGUAAGGUGGAACAGUGGAACUAUGUCUGAGUAGUGCGAAACCUCACAGCAACUCCAACGCUGGAUGUUAGUGGACCCCUGAAUCAUCUUGUGCUGGAUUGCUUCUUUUACAAUGUUAUACUCUUAUUUGACUGCAGUCUGAAAAUGGAUUAAUACAACCAGCCGAUGAUCUUAUUCAUAAAUAAGCGACAUUGACUUUUGAGAGCCAACCCCAUUUGGAGAGAGCAUCAUGUACGCCGCACGGGUGCUGAACCUUUUGUCUUCUCCCCACGCCAUAAACUUGUAAUCUUCUUCCUCAAACUUAGGCCGGUGAUCAGGCGGUGGAUUUUUUUUUUUUUUUUUUUUUUUUUUUGAAGUUCUCUUUCUGCUGAUUGAGUGAGUCCUAGGAUGAAGACUGAAACCAUGGGGAAUCAACUGAGCUACGAAGCAUUCCAACGCAUGCAAUGAGAGAAAAGAGCAGGGAAUUCUAACACAAUAGCGCCGCAAGGCAGCCGUUUCUCCAUCCAGGACGAUGUUUCCAUGGUGCUUUGAACCUGCACAA
Molecule: non-coding RNA, 1315 nt
Organism: Lolium perenne
Lineage: Eukaryota; Viridiplantae; Streptophyta; Magnoliopsida; Poales; Poaceae
Source: RefSeq, a predicted model, not a curated record